RNAcentral lists this ribosomal RNA (1955 nucleotides) under human gut metagenome. RNAcentral describes it as "bacterial LSU rRNA". It matches the Rfam family "Bacterial large subunit ribosomal RNA", at positions 3 to 1989 of the family's 2925-position model. The record is from RNAcentral.
UUAAGCUAAUAAGAGCGCAGGGUGGAUGCCUUGGCACUAAGAGCCGAAGAAAGACGUGAUAAGCUGCGAAAAGCUGCGGGGAGGAGCAAAUGUCCAUUGAUCCGCAGAUGUCUGAAUGGGGAAACCCGUCUGGAAGAACUCCAGUCACUGCAUGCUGAAUACAUAGGCAUGCAGGGGGAACCCGGUGAACUGAAACAUCUAAGUAGCCGGAGGAAAAGAAAGAAAAAUCGAUUUCCAAAGUAGCGGCGAGCGAAAUGGAAGGAGCCCAAACCGGGAUGCGUGCAUUCCGGGGUUAUGGACCGCAAGAAGUGACCCGUAAGAUAGAAGAAUGGCAUUGGGAAAGCCAGCCACAGAGGGUGAAAGCCCCGUAUUCGAAAUCAGAAGGGAGCGAGCGGAAUCCGAAGUACUACGAGACACGUGGAACCUUGUAGGAAAUCGGGGGGACCACCCCCCAAGGCUAAAUACUCCUUAGUGACCGAUAGCGCAUAGUACUGUGAAGGAACGGUGAAAAGAACCCCGGGAGGGGAGUGAAAGAGAACCUGAAACCCUGUGUUUACAAGCUGUGGAAGAGCUUUACAUGCUCAACCGCGUACUUUUUGUAGAACGGUCCGGCGAGUUACUCUUACUGGCAAGGUUAAGCACCAAAGGUGUGGAGCCGAAGGGAAACCAAGUCUUAACAGGGCGAGUUAGUCAGUGUGAGUAGACCCGAAACCGGGUGACCUACCCAUGUCCAGGAUGAAGUUGCCGUAAAAGGCAAUGGAGGUCCGAACACACAUCCGUUGAAAAGGGUGGUGAUGAGGUGUGGGUAGCGGAGAAAUUCCAAUCGAACCCGGAGAUAGCUGGUUCUCCUCGAAAUAGCUUUAGGGCUAGCCUCAAUUUAGUCUUGCGGAGGUAGAGCACUGAAUAUCCUAGGGGGCGUCAAAGCUUACCGAAGAUUAUCAAACUCCGAAUGCCGUAAAGAUGAUGAUUGGGAGUCAGACUGCACGAGAUAAGUUGGGUAGUCAAAAGGGAAACAGCCCAGACCUCCAGCUAAGGUCCCAAAGUGAGUGUUAAGUGGAAAAGGAUGUGGGAUUUCGAAGACAACUAGGAUGUUGGCUCAGAAGCAGCCAUUCAUUCAAAGAGUGCGUAAUAGCUCACUAGUCGAGAGGUCCUGCGCCGAAAAUGUCCGGGGCUAAACACUACACCGAAGCUGAGGAAUGACAAUGUCAUUGGUAGAGGAGCAUUCUUAACUGCGACGAAGCUGUACCGAAAGGAGCAGUGGAGUGUUAAGAAGAGAGAAUGCCGGAAUGAGUAGCGAGAGUGAGGUGAGAAUCCUCACGGCCGAAUAUCUAAGGUUUCCAGGGUAAAGCUGAUCUGCCCUGGGUAAGUCGGGACCUAAGGCGAGGUCGAAAGACGUAGUCGAUGGACAACAGGUUGAAAUUCCUGUACUGCAAUGUAUCAGAAAUGUGGGGACACAGACAGAGAGCCGGAGCCGGGAAUGGAGAAACCGGUGCAAGCGAGGUAGGAGAACAGCAGGCAAAUCCGCUGUUCAAUCUGAAGACGUGACGCGGAGCGAAAUUAAAGUAGCGAAGCCGGUGAGCUGGCUGUCAGGAAAAGCCGCUAUUGUGUACAUUGUACCCGUACCGUAAACCGACACAGGUGGAUGAGGAGAGAAUCCUAAGGCCGACGGAAGAAGCAUUGUUAAGGAACUCGGCAAAAUGGCCCCGUAACUUCGGGAUAAGGGGUGCCUACGAAGGUAGGCCGCAGAGAAUUGGCCCAAGCAACUGUUUAGCAAAAACACAGGUCUAUGCGAAACCGUAAGGUGAUGUAUAUGGGCUGACGCCUGCCCGGUGCUGGAAGGUUAAGGGGAGAGGUUAGACUUAAGUCGAAGCCUUGAACUUAAGCCCCAGUAAACGGCGGCCGUAACUAUAACGGUCCUAAGGUAGCGAAAUUCCUUGUCGGGUAAGUUCCGACCC